RNAcentral lists this ribosomal RNA (464 nucleotides) under uncultured bacterium. RNAcentral's name for it is "bacterial SSU rRNA". It matches the Rfam family "Bacterial small subunit ribosomal RNA", at positions 32 to 524 of the family's 1533-position model. The record is from RNAcentral.
AAUCAACGCUGGCGGCGUGCCUAACACAUGCAAGUCGCACGAGAAAGGGGAGCAAUCCCUGAGUAAAGUGGCGCACGGGUGAGUAACACGUGAAUCAUCUACCUCCGAGUGGGGAAUAACUGAGAGAAAUCUUAGCUAAUACCGCAUAACACUUACGAGUCAAAGCAGCAAUGCGCUUGGAGAGGAGUUCGCGGCCGAUUAGUUAGUUGGCGGGGUAAUGGCCCACCAAGACGAUGAUCGGUAUCCGGCCUGAGAGGGCGCACGGACACACUGGAACUGAAACACGGUCCAGACUCCUACGGGAGGCAGCAGUGGGGAAUUUUGCGCAAUGGGGGAAACCCUGACGCAGCAACGCCGCGUGGAGGAUGAAGUAUCUUGGUACGUAAACUCCUUUCGAUUGGGAAGAUAAUGACGGUACCAAUAGAAGAAGCCCCGGCUAACUUCGUGCCAGCAGCCGCAGUAAC